UGCAGCCACCUUGAUAGUGUGAUGUCCAUCUCUUCUGGCUCUAAUAGGACAAAUCUGCAGACUCCUGUGAGAUUGAACCCUGGCAGGUGUACAGAAAACCUUUGGUGUUUAAUGUCCUGGUCCUGGAUGCAGCCACCUUGAUAGUGUGAUGUCCAUCUCUUCUGGCUCUAAUAGGACAAAUCUGCAGACUCCUGUGAGAUUGAACCCUGGCAGGUGUACAGAAAACCUUUGGUGUUUAAUGUCCUG
Molecule: long non-coding RNA, 246 nt
Organism: Esox lucius (northern pike)
Lineage: Eukaryota; Metazoa; Chordata; Actinopteri; Esociformes; Esocidae
Exons: 3
Source: RefSeq, a predicted model, not a curated record